UGGCGGCGUGCCUAACACAUGCAAGUCGAACGAGAAAGUGGAGCAAUCCAUGAGUAAAGUGGCGCACGGGUGAGUAACACGUGACUAACCUACCCUUGAGUGGGGGAUAACCUAGGGAAACCUGGGCUAAUACCGCAUAAUACCCGGUCAAAGGAGCAAUUCGCUUAAGGAGGGGGUCGCGGCCGAUUAGUUAGUUGGCGGGGUAAUGGCCCACCAAGACGAUGAUCGGUAUCCGGCCUGAGAGGGCGCACGGACACACUGGAACUGAAACACGGUCCAGACUCCUACGGGAGGCAGCAGUGGGGAAUUUUGCGCAAUGGGGGAAACCCUGACGCAGCAACGCCGCGUGGAGGAUGAAGUCCCUUGGGACGUAAACUCCUUUCGAUCGGGACGAUUAUGACGGUACCGGAAGAAGAAGCCCCGGCUAACUUCGUGCCAGCAGCCGCGGUAAUACGAGGGGGGCAAGCGUUUGUCGGAAUUAUUGGGCGUAAAGGGUGCGUAGCCGUUUGGUAAGUCUUGUGUGAAAUCUUCGGCUCAACUCGAAGCCUGCACGAAGAACUGCCGGCUUGAGUAUGGAGAAGUGAGUGGAAUUCCCGGUGUAGCGGUGAAAUGCGUAAUAUUCGGAGGAACCCCUGUGGCGAAGCGGCUCCACUGGACCCAUACUGACGCUGAUGCACGAAAGCUAGGGGAGCAAACAGGAUUAGAUACCCUGGUAGUCCUAGCCCUAAACGAUGAUCGCUUGGUGUGACGGGUACCCAAUCCCGCCGUGCCGUAGCUAACGCGUU
Molecule: ribosomal RNA, 785 nt
Filed under: uncultured Acidobacteriota bacterium
Lineage: Bacteria; Pseudomonadati; Acidobacteriota
Description: bacterial SSU rRNA
Rfam family: Bacterial small subunit ribosomal RNA
Source: RNAcentral